This 253-nucleotide ribosomal RNA is filed under the name uncultured bacterium. RNAcentral describes it as "partial small subunit ribosomal RNA". It matches the Rfam family "Bacterial small subunit ribosomal RNA", at positions 26 to 285 of the family's 1533-position model. The record is from RNAcentral.
AGGAUGAACGCUGGCGGCGUGCCUAACACAUGCAAGUCGAGCGGAAAGGCCCUUCGGGGUACUCGAGCGGCGAACGGGUGAGUAACACGUGAGUAAUCUGCCUUCAGCUCUGGGAUAGCUCCGGGAAACCGGGAUUAAUACCGGAUAUGACCACUUCGGACAUCUGUUGUGGUGGAAAGUUUUUCGGCUGGAGAUGAGCUCGCGGCCUAUCAGCUUGUUGGUGGGUAAAGGCCUACCAAGGCGACGACGGGUA